This 352-nucleotide ribosomal RNA is filed under the name Eukaryota sp. Its description in RNAcentral is "SSU rRNA". It matches the Rfam family "Eukaryotic small subunit ribosomal RNA", at positions 1325 to 1699 of the family's 1831-position model. The record is from RNAcentral.
ACGAUAACGAACGAGACCUUAACCUGCUAAAUAGUCAGGCUGGCUUUGGCUGGUCGCUGACUUCUUAGAGGGACUGUCUGUGUCUAACCGACGGAAGUUUGAGGCAAUAACAGGUCUGUGAUGCCCUUAGGUGUUCUGGGCCACACGCGCGCUACACUGACAGAGCCAGCGAGUAUUCACCUUGGCUGGAAAGUCUGGGUAAUCUUGAGAAACUCUGUCGUGCUGGGGAUAGAGCAUUGCAAUUAUUGCUCUUCAACGAGGAAUACCUAGUAAGCGCGAGUCAUCAGCUUGCGUUGAUUACGUCCCUGCCCUUUGUACACACCGCCCGUCGCUAAUACCGAUUGAAUGGGUA